GCUGGCGGCGCGCUUACACAUGCAAGUCGAGCGAGAAAGCCCCUUCGGGGUGUGAGUACAGCGGCGCACGGGUGAGUAACACGUGGACAAUCUACCUCGAAGUGGGGGAUAACUUCGCGAAAGUGGGGCUAAUACCGCAUAAUCUUCUUUUGCCGAGGUGAAAGGAGGAAAGGUUUACCGCUUUGAGAUGAGUCUGCGGCCCAUCAGCUAGUUGGUAGGGUAACGGCCUACCAAGGCUACGACGGGUAGCUGGUCUGAGAGGAUGAUCAGCCACACUGGCACUGAGAUACGGGCCAGACUCCUACGGGAGGCAGCAGUGGGGAAUCUUGCGCAAUGGGGGAAACCCUGACGCAGCGACGCCGCGUGGGUGAAGAAGGCCUUCGGGUUGUAAAGCCCUGUCGCAGAGGAAGAAAAGGCAACUUGACGGUACUCUGUGAGAAAGCACAGGCAAACUUCGUGCCAGCAGCCGCGGUAAUACGAAGGUCCCAAGCGUUGUUCGGAAUUACUGGGCGUAAAGAGUCUGUAGGCGGUUAGGUAAGUCAGAUGUGAAAUCCCGGGGCUCAACCCCGGAACUGCAUCCGAUACUGCCUGACUAGAGUGUUGGAGGGGGAUCUGGAAUUCUCGGUGUAGCAGUGAAAUGCGUAGAUAUCGAGAGGAACACUAGUGGCGAAGGCGAGAUCCUGGACAACCACUGACGCUGAGAGACGAAGGCCAGGGUAGCGAAGAGGAUUAGAUACCCUCGUAGUCCUGGCAGUAAACGUUGCACGCUUGGUGUGGGAGGAUUCGACCCCUUCCGUGCCGGAGCUAACGCGUUAAGCGUGCCGCCUGGGGAGUACGGUCGCAAGAUUAAAACUCAAAGAAAUUGACGGGGACCCGCACAAGCGGUGGAGCAUGUGGCUUAAUUCGAUGCAACGCGAAGAACCUUACCUGGGCUUGACAUGUUAGUCGUAGACUUAUGAAAGUUUGUCGUCACUUCGGGUGGACUAUCACAGGUGCUGCAUGGCUGUCGUCAGCUCGUGUCGUGAGAUGUCAGGUUAAGUCCUAUAACGAGCGCAACCCCUAUGAACUGUUGCCAGCGGAUAAUGCCGGGGACUCUGUUCAGACUGCCCAGAUUAACUGGGAGGAAGGAGGGGAUGACGUCAAGUCAGUAUGGCCCUUACGCCCAGGGCUGCACACGUGCUACAAUGUCCAGUACAGUGUGAACCGAUACCGCGAGGUGGAGGGAAUCCUCAAAACUGGGCUCAGUUCGGAUUGUAGUCUGCAACUCGACUACAUGAAGUUGGAAUCGCUAGUAAUGGCUCAUCAGCUACGGAGCCGUGAAUACGUUCCCGGGUCUUGUACACACCGCGUCACAUCAUGGAAGCCGCUCGCACCCGAAGU
This 1380-nucleotide ribosomal RNA is filed under the name uncultured prokaryote. RNAcentral's name for it is "partial 16S ribosomal RNA". It matches the Rfam family "Bacterial small subunit ribosomal RNA". The record is from RNAcentral.